This is a non-coding RNA of Triticum aestivum (bread wheat), 74 nucleotides long. The record is from Rfam. NCBI's taxonomy places the organism in Eukaryota, Viridiplantae, Streptophyta, Magnoliopsida, Poales, Poaceae.
GAAAGCCGUAUUCGAUGAAAGUUGUAUGUACGGCUUGGAGGGAGGUCUUUCAUAUCUUUCGAGAUCUACCCUAC